This 497-nucleotide ribosomal RNA is filed under the name uncultured bacterium. RNAcentral describes it as "partial 16S ribosomal RNA". It matches the Rfam family "Bacterial small subunit ribosomal RNA", at positions 28 to 507 of the family's 1533-position model. The record is from RNAcentral.
GAUGAACGCUGGCGGCGUGCCUAAUACAUGCAAGUCGAGCGAACGGACGAGAAGCUUGCUUCUCUGAUGUUAGCGGCGGACGGGUGAGUAACACGUGGAUAACCUACCUAUAAGACUGGGAUAACUUCGGGAAACCGGAGCUAAUACCGGAUAAUAUUUUGAACCGCAUGGUUCAAAAGUGAAAGACGGUCUUGCUGUCACUUAUAGAUGGAUCCGCGCUGCAUUAGCUAGUUGGUAAGGUAACGGCUUACCAAGGCAACGAUGCAUAGCCGACCUGAGAGGGUGAUCGGCCACACUGGAACUGAGACACGGUCAAGACUCCUACGGGAAGCAGCAGUAGGGAAUCUUCCGCAAUGGGCGAAAGCCUGACGGAGAAACGCCGCGUGAGUGAUGAAGGUCUUCGGAUCGUAAAACUCUGUUAUUAGGGAAGAACAUAUGUGUAAGUAACUGUGCACAUCUUGACGGUACCUGAUCAGAAAGCCACGGCUAACUACGUG